This is a long non-coding RNA of Ostrea edulis (European flat oyster), 1625 nucleotides long. RefSeq lists it as uncharacterized. The transcript is spliced from 4 exons. Lineage: Eukaryota; Metazoa; Mollusca; Bivalvia; Ostreida; Ostreidae. The record is from RefSeq and is a predicted model, not a curated record.
UGUUCAUCUGUAUGUAAAACCUGUUCGUCUUCGUGCACGGAGUGUGACGUUCUGAAUCAGAAAUGCACUGUGUGUCGAGAAUGGAGAUUUGGAGAAAUGUGUCAACUUAAUUGUCCUCGUCACUGUAACAUGUGUGACAUUAACAACGGUACAUGUCUGCAAUGUGAAACCGGUCAUACAGGCGAAAACUGCACAGGUAAGUAAAAAGGAUAUAUAAUUAUUUAAUUUCCGCACAUUCGAGGAAUACGCUUUGAAGUGAGAGUUAAAAGGUGUUGAAAGCAAAUAACAAUUUCAAAUCUUAUUAAAUUAUUUCUUGCUAUUUAAUUUACCGUAUCUACGUAGUGUACAAUAUGCUUUCGAAUUUCCGGUAAAAAUACAGGUAUGCUGAUGACGUUUGUUUUAUGUAUGAAGUAUGACACGCCGUCAACUUUUUACAGCAAGAUCAACCUUCACAGAAUUUACUGAUAUAGAACAGUCACCCGGAUUCUUUAAAGUUCUAAAAAUAUGUCUUUGAACAAUUUUGCACUUAUAAAAACAUUUUCUUUUUGUUAUUUUCCAUGCAUAUUAUGAACGAUUUCAAUGUCAUGGUGUAGUAUCAAAUUUCCACCGCAAAUAUUAGAGAUGAAAAUGGUGUUAUACACAACACCAAGAAAGCAAUUUCAAUCGAUGUUUGACGAGCAAAUUUACAACAGCUUUUAACUCCAUAUGUAGCGGUAAUGAAUAGCGCUGAACAGUUAUGAUGUAUUUCUCGUGACACAACUAAAGACAUGUAUAUGUUGACGUCACAAGCGUGAAGUACUCUGAAGUUCUUUUCCUGGAAAACUGUGAAUCUUCCCGGGGAAUGUGAUAUUUAAGGACGACAGACCUAAUUUGUUUCUACAACACAGAAUUUUGAUACCAGUAUACAUCAGUUUGAUUCACGUCAUAUGUACGUCUUUGGGUCUGUCGUCCUUAAGCUACGGAGGUCUGCAUCGCGUGUUUCAUCACUUUGAAGCGGGAGAUGUGCUAGAAAUAGAAAUAGCUGAGUAUUUCAGACGCCGAAACACAAACCCAGACACACAAACAGAGGGAGCACCCGUCAGAAAUUGACCAUUUCUCUACUUUUUUAGCGGUGAAUCAUUAACAAUGUAGGUGGAAUACACUCAGACAGAUGAAUCUGCCACCAGUUCCAUAAUCAGAUACAAUCCUGCAAAACCCCGUAUGACAGCACUGCUGCCUGGAGUUGUUUUAUGCAGCGUUGAUGCAGAUGGCGACAACAAGGUCCCAGUGAUCCUCAGCAAUCACGACCAAAGCAGUGUGAAUCUACCUCCAGAGAUAACACCAGGCGGACUCAGUAGAGAACGACAUGAAUAUUUAUACAGACAUAUCAGACCACAUGUCCGGGAACGUUUCAGGGACAUAACAUGUCCAGAUUCUCACGGAGAAUAAGUGAAAUUUACAGUUGUUUCAGAGAACGAUUAACGUCAUUUAAACGUCAUUUUUGUAACGUCAUUGAAAUAUUAUCUUAACAUUUGACAGCCUAUAUCUCAGUAAAUAUGCUGAAUAUUUGAACUAAACAUCACACGUGUCUUUUUAAUGUUGUUGGCUAUCAUAUGUCAUUAAAAAGUUAAUUUUGAUAAUUUUUA